UUUUUUUUUUUUUAAGGACCACACCUACAGCAUAUGGAAGUUUCCAGGCUAGGGGUCAAAUCAGACCUGCAGCUGCUGGUUUACAGCACAGUUCAUGGCAAUGCCAGAUCCUUAACCCACUGAGCAAGGCCAGGGAUUGAACACAUAUCCUCAUGGAUACUAGUUGGGUUCUAAAUCCACUAAGCCACAACAGGAACUUUUUAAGAAAGGAAGAAAGUGCCAAAUUGAUUUAGUCAAGGGGGAAAAAAAAAACCAAAAAACCAUUCAAUAGAAUUUCCUGUCCCAUAACGUGGUGUGUUACAUGAGAGGGCAUUUAUCAUAAGUCACAGUGACAUUACAAGCGGCUGCAAAAAUUCAUAGACAUAACCAAGAGGUCAGCAUGGUCAAACACAGAAAAUGUUUUGGAUGACAUAUCCAACAGCUAGAGAGAUUACUUGCUUUUUCCAAAGUUUGAGAAAUUCUAAUUUUUGAAUUGUGCUUCCAAGCCUGUGACAUUAGAAAGAAAAAUAAAGCCUAACAAAAGAAACAAUCAUUCUGGUAACCUAACAAGUUAUUUAAAUUACCUUUUGAAGAGUUUUAUUUUACUGAAGUCACUACUGCAGCAAUCCUAUUCACCUCAGUUUCUUUAUCAUAACUUCCUUCUGAAAAGGAACUUAGUAUCUGUUAGGGCUCUUGCCCACUCAGAAGUCAGUGUCAGGUACUGGAACCAGCCAAAGUUUGGAUAAUAUCAAUCAUGGUCUUCUUCUGCAGCAUGGUCUCUAGUUCCUGUCAUGUUCCUGUCGACAGGAUGUGGUGGCUCCAGUGAUCUUUGCAGGACUGCCUUAACUUGAAUAUGAUGGAUCCAUGUUUUAAUUCCCUUCAGCCUUCGCUGAGGAAUGGGCUGUGAGUAGUACUUUGUCAGGCCUGGUCAAAUAAGGAUGGUGCUGGUCUUCUGGAUAUUUUUUGUUCCAAGUUUUCAUCAGGACCCAGUCUCCAGGACAGAAGUGGUCACUAAGAAGCAUGCAAUUUCCAAGAAAGGUUUAAAGCUCCAGAUACUUCUUCAAUUAUUCUUAUUAUAAAGGCCCCUCCUUUGUCACUCUGAAAUAGACAUAGGCAGCCCAAACCUAGGAACUAUCUCUUUCAGUAGGGCUUUAACAACUGAAGAUGCUUUUUCAGACCGAAAAAUGCUGGUUAGGUAAAUGCUUCUACCUGACCAGUAAAAAGUGUCUACACAUGCUAGUUAAGUACCUGAGGUCUGUAGUGGAUCUUCAGCAUCAUAGUAAAAUCAAAUCUGCCAAUAAUCUUUGAGUCUAAAUUCCUUUGUUUCUUCCAUCCCUUCCAUCCCUUCAUCGAUCUCAAAGUCUGGAUCCUCCAAUGGCAGGUCCCUUGGGUCAGGACAUCUGAAAUAGAUCUGUCAGUUACCUAAAUGCAGUCUUGAUCAUGUUCAAAUUUUGGCCUAUCCUCAGCAUUCACAUCCCAAUUGGGAUCUGCUGUUGGUACAUUCAUUCCUGCUACAGCCCUUCUGGAGUGGUGAGGGACGUCUACCUAAAGCAGAUCUGGCUCCUCCCUAGUUUUUCCUAGUCCUCUUCUAUGUUCUUCUGAAGUGAGGAUGAUGUUUAAUAAAUUUUGAUAUCAGCACAGGUUGGGUUUGUAGGUUGGAAAAUUUUCCAUUCUCUUUGGAUUGUCUCUAUAAGUUGGCAUCUGGUUUUUCCAAAUGAAUAAACCCAAAGUUGAAAAAGAGUGAACCAAAAUUAAUUCCAUCAGCUAAACAGUCUCAGCAUUCACAACUCCAGUGGGACUUGUCUUAAGGGGUAUUGCCCCACCUGGGUUUGGAGAGCUCUCUGGCCAAACUGAGUACCCUGGAGGUGUGAGAUGGGGAGGUUAUUCCUAGUUCUGGAGUAGCCUUACCUAAGAGUCUUUGUAAGAUGCAAACCCUCAUGCAAGGUGUAAUCCUUUUGCUCAUAAUUCUAAUUUAGUUUUGGAGCAUAAAAUCAAGUCAUCUAGAAUCUAAAAUAUGGUACAAAUGAACUUAUUUACAAAACAAACAGGCUCAAAGACACAGAAAACAAACUUAUGGUUACCAAAGGGGAAAGUAGGUAGGGGAAGGAUAAAUUAGGAGUUUGGGAUUAGCUGGUACAAAAUACUGUACAUAAAAUAGAAAAACAAGGUCGUACUGUAUUGCACAGGGAACUAUAUUCAAUAUCCUAUAAUAAACCAUAUGGAAAAUACAAAAAUAUAUGUAUAACUGAAUCACUUCUAUGUAACAGAAACACACUGUAAAUCAAGUAUAUUUCAGUUGUAAAAAGCAAGUCAACUAUAAGCAUUUUUGUGAAAGCAUCAGAUUAAUAACUGUCUAUGAAUGCAAAGACUUAAAGGCACAGUUAAAGACCUGAUUACAAUGCAGCUGUCAAGGAAAUUUGGCUAUUUCUGUGCCAUAAUUUAAAAUAACAUAUUAAUGACAUUUACCCAUAUAACAUAGCCAGAGAUUUACCACUGAUUUGGUUCCCAUGUAAUUUAACUUACCAAAUAAUCCUGAUUUACUUCAGUAUUGUUCUUUGACAUAUAGAGAAAAGAAAUGUCUUGGAGGUAUCCCAGAGCCCCUCUGGGAAAACCUAAAUAAAAUUUUGCUACUGUCAACCUCUAGUUAGAAUUUGAUCCAUGAGAAGUUUAUCAAAAAGUAUCAAAAGGCUUUAAGACACUUGGUCAUAUAGGAUCAUAGGUCAUUGUGAAACAAUACUUACUCACUUAACCAGUAACAACAACAACAAAAAAUUCAAAGACAAAGUUAUAACAGAUCACUUAAAAAGGUAAAGACACCUCCAAUCUAUUAUCAAAAGCAGUUCAGUGUUCCAAGAAAACUUUAGUUUCUUCUGUUAGAACAAAUGCCAGUCUUGCAUCAGCUACCUUUUUGUAAUAAUUCAUCUACCUUAUUAAGUCCAAUCUAAUCUUAACCAGUCCUGGCCAUGCACAAUCAAGGUCUUUUUUCCCCCUACAAAUCUUUAUAACUUUCUGUGUCAACUUAUCCCUUAUUUUCUUUCCCAUUUUGAAAUAACCAGCUUUAGAACAAAAUUACUUUUUCCCCCUUAACACAAUGCAUUUUUAUUCUUUAUACUUUCUUUGCCUUUAGACACACAUCCCACUUUCCUUGCAUACUGAGAUAUUUCCCUUAUUUCUAGUAGCUUUAAUUAUAAUUCAAAACUCAAAAACCUUUAGUCUCUAACAAAAACCAAGAAGAAACUGAACUGUUUGCUCAUCAGGGAAUGCUGGUAUGACAAACUUAUGAAUAUCUCUAACCUCUACAAACAUUUUCUCACAGCAUAAUUUUUAUCAAUGUGGUAAAAGAAGUGUCUAAAACUAAAAAUCUUUACAUUUUGUCCCCUUUAUUUUUUUAGGGCCACCCCCACAGCAUAUGGAGGUUCUCAGGCUAGGGGUCAACUCAGAGCUGUAGCUGCCAGCCUAUGCCACAGCCAUGCCAGAUCUGAGCUGCAUCUGUGACCUACACCACAGCUCAUGGCAAUGCCAGAUCCUUAACCCACUGAGCAAGACCAGGGCUCAAACCUGCAUCUUCAUGGAUACUAGGCAGAUUCAUUUCUAUUGUGCCAUGACAGGAACUCCUGUCCUCUUAAUUAAAGAGAAACAAAACUUACUCAUUUAGCAAUUCAUGUAUCAGAGACAGGAUUAAGAUGGCAGAAUAGGACUGGAGCUCACCUUCUCUCACGAAAACAACAAAAUUACAACCAAAUGCUGAACAACCUUCAACCAAAUGGACUGGAAACUUUCAAAAAGAUAUCCUACUCCAGAAGACAAAGAGAAGGCCACAUUAAGAGGUAGGAGAGGUGAUUAUGCAAUAUAAGCAACUCCAUACCUGCUGGGUGGGAAGCCCACAGACUGGAAAGUAACUGUAUCAUAGAGACCUACAAGAAUGAGAGUUUUGAGCCCCAUGUCAGGUCCCUGCACCUAGAGAUCUGGCAUUGGGAGAAAGAGCCCCUAGAGCAUCCAGCACUUAAGGCCAGUGGGGCUUGUGUGCAGGAGCUCCACAGGACUGGGGGAAACAGAGACCCCAUUCUUGAAAGGUGCAUACAGACUUUCACGUGCACUGGGUCCCAGGGCAAAGCAGAGGCUCCAAAGGAAUCUGGGUUGAACCUCACUGCAGUUCUUGGAGGAUCUCCUGGGAAAACAGGGGAUGACUAGCUCAUUGUGGGGGAAGAACAUUGCAGGCAAAGCUCUCAGGAAUAUUCUUCAGUGUGUGUUCCUUUAGAGGUGCCUAUUUUGGAAAAAUCUGGCCCUACCCAUCAGCGCUGAGAACCCCAGGCCAAACAAUAAUCCAGGUGGGAUCACAGCUACAUCCAUCAGUAAACGGGCUGCCUAAAGACCCUCCAGGCACACAGCCACAUCUACUCUCACCCAGAGGCAAAGCCCCACCCACCAGAGGGAUAGGAAUCAGCCCCACCUACCAGUGGGCAGGCACCAGUCCCUCCCAUCAGGAAGCCUAUGGCAAGUUCCCUUACCAACUUCAUCCACAAGGGGGGCAGACAUCAGAAGUAAGAGAGGCUACAACUCUAUUGUCUGCAAAAAGGAGACCACACCAAAAACCUAUAAAAAUGAAAAGGCAGAGAACUAUAACUCACAUAAGGGAACAACCCCAGAAAAACAGCUAAGUGAUCUGGAGAUUCUCAGCCUCCAGGAAAAAGACUUUAGACUGAUGAUGCUGAAGAUGAUGCAAGACAUUGGAAAUAAACCGGAGGCAAAGAUUGAUAAUUUACAGCAAAUAUUGAGCAAAGAAAUACAAGAUUUAGGAGUUCCCGUCGUGGCGCAGUGGUUAACGAAUCCGACUAGGAACCAUGAGGUUGAGGGUUCGGUCCCUGCCCUUGCUCAGUGGGUUAACGAUCCGGCGUUGCCGUGAGCUGUGGUGUAGGUUGCAGACGCGGCUCGGAUCCCGCGUUGCUGUGGCUCUGGCGUAGGCCGGUGGCUACAGCUCCGAUUCAACCCCUAGCCUGGGAACCUCCAUAUGCCGCGGGAGCGGCCCAAGAAAUAGCAA
This 5017-nucleotide long non-coding RNA is filed under the name Sus scrofa (pig). Its description in RNAcentral is "lncRNA (ENSSSCG00000052707.1)". The record is from RNAcentral. Lineage: Eukaryota; Metazoa; Chordata; Mammalia; Artiodactyla; Suidae.